This 413-nucleotide ribosomal RNA is filed under the name uncultured prokaryote. RNAcentral's name for it is "bacterial SSU rRNA". It matches the Rfam family "Bacterial small subunit ribosomal RNA", at positions 505 to 918 of the family's 1533-position model. The record is from RNAcentral.
GUGCCAGCAGCCGCGGUAAUACGUAGGGUGCAAGCGUUAAUCGGAAUUACUGGGCGUAAAGCGUGCGCAGGCGGUUAUAUAAGACAGAUGUGAAAUCCCCGAGCUUAACUUGGGAACUGCAUUUGUGACUGUAUAGCUAGAGUACGGCAGAGGGGGAUGGAAUUCCGCGUGUAGCAGUGAAAUGCGUAGAUAUGCGGAGGAACACCGAUGGCGAAGGCAAUCCCCUGGGCCUGUACUGACGCUCAUGCACGAAAGCGUGGGGAGCAAACAGGAUUAGAUACCCUGGUAGUCCACGCCCUAAACGAUGUCAACUGGUUGUUGGGUCUUCACUGACUCAGUAACGAAGCUAACGCGUGAAGUUGACCGCCUGGGGAGUACGGCCGCAAGGUUGAAACUUAAAUGAAUUGACGGGG